Molecule: non-coding RNA, 894 nt
Organism: Puntigrus tetrazona (Sumatra barb)
Lineage: Eukaryota; Metazoa; Chordata; Actinopteri; Cypriniformes; Cyprinidae
Source: the annotation of a RefSeq genome assembly
ACAGAUAUUUAGAUAAAGUUCUUAUAGGAGUAGAUCCUAAGAAAACGGUCAUACUGGGAAAAUCUUAAAUGGCUUAAAGUGGAAGACAGAUUAUUACUAUUAUGUGGACAUAAAAUGUGUGUAAGCCCAACAAUGAUUGUAAUUAAAAGUAAAUGUCAGUAAAAUGAAAGCAUUUAGCCUUUUACACAACAUGUUUCAAAGCACAGUAAAUCAAUAGCCAAAACAUACUGUUCUGAGAUCCAACAGAAGGUGGCAGCAUUAUUUCACAAGCUGUUUCAUUCACACUAAACAAGCACCUAAUGUCUAGAAGAUACACGGACAUUGCACAGAACAUGUUUCAUAUUUCAGUAAUCCACACCCACAUUCAUACAGGACAGAACUUCAUUCUGUCUCUGUGCUUUCAUUCAACCAACAGCAACAAUACUUUGAAGCGAACAAAUACUGCAAGUUAAUAACCAUAAUCCAAUACAUUUAAUAAGAAGACACUUAAAAUCUGAGCUUUAAAGUGGGCCUUAGUUGAAAUGGAGGAGAGGCAGAUGCUGCUCAUAAUGCUCAUCACAGUUUCAGGUGGAUUUGCUGAUAAAAUUGGACCAAGUGAAGAAGAUACUAAUAUAACCAGAGAAGAAGGAGAGUCUGUGACACUGAUCUGCACAUAUGAAACUAACAGCAAUGAUAUUUGGCUUUACUGGUACAGACAGUAUCCAAACAGAGAACCAGAAUAUAUACUGUAUAAAGGUGCUCGAUCAAGGAGCAAUCAGGAAGAUAUACCAGAUGGGUUUCAAUCAACUACAUCCCAGUCAUCCACUGAACUCAUUAUAAACAGUGUAACUUUAAUAGACUCAGCUCUCUAUUACUGUGCACUUGAAGUAGCCCAGUGAUACAAAAUGCCUGAGA